This 245-nucleotide ribosomal RNA is filed under the name uncultured prokaryote. Its description in RNAcentral is "partial 16S ribosomal RNA". It matches the Rfam family "Bacterial small subunit ribosomal RNA", at positions 524 to 768 of the family's 1533-position model. The record is from RNAcentral.
UACGUAGGUGGCGAGCGUUGUCCGGAUUUACUGGGCGUAAAGCGUGCGUAGGCAGCUGUGCAAGACAGAUGUGAAAUCCCCGGGCUUAACCUGGGAACUGCAUUUGUGACUGCAUGGCUAGAGUGUGUCAGAGGGAGGUGGAAUUCCGCGUGUAGCAGUGAAAUGCGUAGAGAUGCGGAGGAACACCGAUGGCGAAGGCAGCCUCCUGGGAUAACACUGACGCUCAGGCACGAAAGCGUGGGGAG